Molecule: ribosomal RNA, 2904 nt
Filed under: Escherichia coli
Lineage: Bacteria; Pseudomonadati; Pseudomonadota; Gammaproteobacteria; Enterobacterales; Enterobacteriaceae
Description: 23S ribosomal RNA
Rfam family: Bacterial large subunit ribosomal RNA
Source: RNAcentral
GGUUAAGCGACUAAGCGUACACGGUGGAUGCCCUGGCAGUCAGAGGCGAUGAAGGACGUGCUAAUCUGCGAUAAGCGUCGGUAAGGUGAUAUGAACCGUUAUAACCGGCGAUUUCCGAAUGGGGAAACCCAGUGUGAUUCGUCACACUAUCAUUAACUGAAUCCAUAGGUUAAUGAGGCGAACCGGGGGAACUGAAACAUCUAAGUACCCCGAGGAAAAGAAAUCAACCGAGAUUCCCCCAGUAGCGGCGAGCGAACGGGGAGCAGCCCAGAGCCUGAAUCAGUGUGUGUGUUAGUGGAAGCGUCUGGAAAGGCGCGCGAUACAGGGUGACAGCCCCGUACACAAAAAUGCACAUACUGUGAGCUCGAUGAGUAGGGCGGGACACGUGGUAUCCUGUCUGAAUAUGGGGGGACCAUCCUCCAAGGCUAAAUACUCCUGACUGACCGAUAGUGAACCAGUACCGUGAGGGAAAGGCGAAAAGAACCCCGGCGAGGGGAGUGAAAAAGAACCUGAAACCGUGUACGUACAAGCAGUGGGAGCACGCUUAGGCGUGUGACUGCGUACCUUUUGUAUAAUGGGUCAGCGACUUAUAUUCUGUAGCAAGGUUAACCGAAUAGGGGAGCCGAAGGGAAACCGAGUCUUAACUGGGCGUUAAGUUGCAGGGUAUAGACCCGAAACCCGGUGAUCUAGCCAUGGGCAGGUUGAAGGUUGGGUAACACUAACUGGAGGACCGAACCGACUAAUGUUGAAAAAUUAGCGGAUGACUUGUGGCUGGGGGUGAAAGGCCAAUCAAACCGGGAGAUAGCUGGUUCUCCCCGAAAGCUAUUUAGGUAGCGCCUCGUGAAUUCAUCUCCGGGGGUAGAGCACUGUUUCGGCAAGGGGGUCAUCCCGACUUACCAACCCGAUGCAAACUGCGAAUACCGGAGAAUGUUAUCACGGGAGACACACGGCGGGUGCUAACGUCCGUCGUGAAGAGGGAAACAACCCAGACCGCCAGCUAAGGUCCCAAAGUCAUGGUUAAGUGGGAAACGAUGUGGGAAGGCCCAGACAGCCAGGAUGUUGGCUUAGAAGCAGCCAUCAUUUAAAGAAAGCGUAAUAGCUCACUGGUCGAGUCGGCCUGCGCGGAAGAUGUAACGGGGCUAAACCAUGCACCGAAGCUGCGGCAGCGACGCUUAUGCGUUGUUGGGUAGGGGAGCGUUCUGUAAGCCUGCGAAGGUGUGCUGUGAGGCAUGCUGGAGGUAUCAGAAGUGCGAAUGCUGACAUAAGUAACGAUAAAGCGGGUGAAAAGCCCGCUCGCCGGAAGACCAAGGGUUCCUGUCCAACGUUAAUCGGGGCAGGGUGAGUCGACCCCUAAGGCGAGGCCGAAAGGCGUAGUCGAUGGGAAACAGGUUAAUAUUCCUGUACUUGGUGUUACUGCGAAGGGGGGACGGAGAAGGCUAUGUUGGCCGGGCGACGGUUGUCCCGGUUUAAGCGUGUAGGCUGGUUUUCCAGGCAAAUCCGGAAAAUCAAGGCUGAGGCGUGAUGACGAGGCACUACGGUGCUGAAGCAACAAAUGCCCUGCUUCCAGGAAAAGCCUCUAAGCAUCAGGUAACAUCAAAUCGUACCCCAAACCGACACAGGUGGUCAGGUAGAGAAUACCAAGGCGCUUGAGAGAACUCGGGUGAAGGAACUAGGCAAAAUGGUGCCGUAACUUCGGGAGAAGGCACGCUGAUAUGUAGGUGAAGUCCCUCGCGGAUGGAGCUGAAAUCAGUCGAAGAUACCAGCUGGCUGCAACUGUUUAUUAAAAACACAGCACUGUGCAAACACGAAAGUGGACGUAUACGGUGUGACGCCUGCCCGGUGCCGGAAGGUUAAUUGAUGGGGUCAGCGCAAGCGAAGCUCUUGAUCGAAGCCCCGGUAAACGGCGGCCGUAACUAUAACGGUCCUAAGGUAGCGAAAUUCCUUGUCGGGUAAGUUCCGACCUGCACGAAUGGCGUAAUGAUGGCCAGGCUGUCUCCACCCGAGACUCAGUGAAAUUGAACUCGCUGUGAAGAUGCAGUGUACCCGCGGCAAGACGGAAAGACCCCGUGAACCUUUACUAUAGCUUGACACUGAACAUUGAGCCUUGAUGUGUAGGAUAGGUGGGAGGCUUUGAAGUGUGGACGCCAGUCUGCAUGGAGCCGACCUUGAAAUACCACCCUUUAAUGUUUGAUGUUCUAACGUUGACCCGUAAUCCGGGUUGCGGACAGUGUCUGGUGGGUAGUUUGACUGGGGCGGUCUCCUCCUAAAGAGUAACGGAGGAGCACGAAGGUUGGCUAAUCCUGGUCGGACAUCAGGAGGUUAGUGCAAUGGCAUAAGCCAGCUUGACUGCGAGCGUGACGGCGCGAGCAGGUGCGAAAGCAGGUCAUAGUGAUCCGGUGGUUCUGAAUGGAAGGGCCAUCGCUCAACGGAUAAAAGGUACUCCGGGGAUAACAGGCUGAUACCGCCCAAGAGUUCAUAUCGACGGCGGUGUUUGGCACCUCGAUGUCGGCUCAUCACAUCCUGGGGCUGAAGUAGGUCCCAAGGGUAUGGCUGUUCGCCAUUUAAAGUGGUACGCGAGCUGGGUUUAGAACGUCGUGAGACAGUUCGGUCCCUAUCUGCCGUGGGCGCUGGAGAACUGAGGGGGGCUGCUCCUAGUACGAGAGGACCGGAGUGGACGCAUCACUGGUGUUCGGGUUGUCAUGCCAAUGGCACUGCCCGGUAGCUAAAUGCGGAAGAGAUAAGUGCUGAAAGCAUCUAAGCACGAAACUUGCCCCGAGAUGAGUUCUCCCUGACUCCUUGAGAGUCCUGAAGGAACGUUGAAGACGACGACGUUGAUAGGCCGGGUGUGUAAGCGCAGCGAUGCGUUGAGCUAACCGGUACUAAUGAACCGUGAGGCUUAACCUU